CUAAGGAGACUGCCGGUGACAAACCGGAGGAAGGUGGGGAUGACGUCAAAUCAUCAUGCCCCUUAUGACCUGGGCUACACACGUGCUACAAUGGAUAGAACAAAGGGCAGCGAAGCCGCGAGGUGAAGCCAAUCCCAUAAAUCUAUUCUCAGUUCGGAUUGCAGGCUGCAACUCGCCUGCAUGAAGCCGGAAUCACUAGUAAUCGCGGAUCAGCAUGCCGCGGUGAAUACGUUCCCGGGCCUUGUACACACCGCCCGUCACACCACGAGAGUUUGUAACACCCGAAGUCGGUGGGGUAACCUUUUGGAGCCAGCCGCCUAAGGUGGGACAGAUGAUUGGGGUGAAGUCGUAACAAGGUAGCCGUAUCGGAAGGUGCGGCUGGAUCACCUCCUUUCUAAGGA
Molecule: ribosomal RNA, 401 nt
Filed under: Mesobacillus campisalis
Lineage: Bacteria; Bacillati; Bacillota; Bacilli; Caryophanales; Bacillaceae
Description: bacterial SSU rRNA
Rfam family: Bacterial small subunit ribosomal RNA
Source: RNAcentral